UCCUUACACAACCAAUCCCAGGCUUUAUAUAUCACCUGUAGGGAUGAGUCUCUCAGGAGAGAUCAAAACAGCCCUUGACAGUGCAGGUGUGUUGGUGUUUUUGAGCAGGCGUGUGUGUUCUUCGGACACAGGAGAGAGCUUCCACCGCCGCACUCAGCCCAGUGGAGGACACCAAGGCCAGAGUGAGAGAAGGAGAGAGAAGGGACAUAGAGCCAGGUUGCUAAAAAAGAAACUCCUCAGGGUUGUUGGAGAGUUGAUCUGGUUUCUACUGGGAAAAGGUUCUAGAGACCACUAAGAUGUUUUUCCGCAUCCCUCGACUGACCCCUGGAUACAUCAGAUACUUGCAGACUCAAGCUGCCCAGACCGUGCUGCAGAGCCGGGAAGGCCCCAUGAUGUCGAGGGUGGCCAUGCUGCUAGGGCUGAUGGGAGUUGGGAUGUCUGGGUACAGCUCACGACAGCUCACCCUGCACUGCAAGCCCUCCGCUAACCUGCUGAGAUGAGGCAAGACACAACACCUCUGACCUUCCACCCUGAAGACGACAACAUGGAUAAGAUUGAUCACUGGAGCAUAUCCAAUACCCCUGGAUUCCACUUACACUACAAGAAUAAUUAGUCUCUGUUUCCUAAAACGGUUUUGUUUUAGUUGAGUUUUUGUUUGUUACCCUUGCACCUUUGAUUUCCCCCAUUGUGGUUGAAGUUUGGGACGAACCAAGUUCAGAUUCUUAUUCUGAAAAGUUUAACAUUGAAGAUCGAUACUUUAAGGUUCCACACGCGCAGUUAUGACCAUAUAAGAUUAUCCCUCCAUUUAAAAAAAUCAAUAUUCUUUUAAACUACCUCUCCCUUUCAAACCAGUUAAAGUGUUAUUCACCCAACAUACAUCAAUCCAUUCUUAUUGAGCUCUGUUCUUGAGCUGGUAACAUCCUCAACUUUAACCACCCAUUUUCUUUUUGUAAUUCUGUGCCUUAAAGGGAGCGAUCCAUUAAAAUCAGUUUAAGACACCAAAUGGUGUUACCUCACGCUAACCCAAGAAGACCAAAACCCAAGAAAUAAAGACAUCGCAAUGGAGAAAUAUUAAAUAUGUCAAAUAUUUUUCAAAACCUGACGAAAUUCCCCAGUCCGCCUGUUUAUUGCCAUUCUCUUGUCUGUGUUUGGCAAGGCAUGUACACAGAGAUUAGCACCUCUGUUUUAGGCUUAUCCAGUGUUUUCCUGAAUAAUGUCACGAGUGGCAGGAAAGGAGAGCGAAAUCAAAAUGGUAGCAUCUUGGAACUCAGAGAAUCCAGUUGGUCAUAGGGAUUAUAAAAAUGUUUUUUUGUCUGUUAUCAUCAAUGCUCUUGAUUCUGGAGACAAGAUUCCUUCAUUUGGUACUUGCUUUACUUUCUUUGUCUGCUAUGUUUGCAUGCAAAGAAAUACAGGAAAAAUCCUUUGACCAAGAUUCAAAAUGUACUCAACCAACAUGCUUCCAAUUGUAUUUUCUAAUGUCUUUUUUUAUUUGGUCACGCCCAACUUUUUUCCAUUGAACCUUUUUGAUUUUGCACAGUGAAAAGAUUGAUAUUUUUACAUACAUUCUUUUCACCAAAACACUCUGACACUUUGCACUUUUUUAAUAAUGUAUGUGUGUGUACAUAAUAUGUACAUAAUGUACAUAUCUGAAUUAUUGAAGCUUGAAGAGAUUAGUAGAUGGUUAAGUGACAUGGAAAGUGACGCCAGAUUGGUUUGAGAACUAGUCUGGGUGGAAUCCAGCUGGAUUCACACACGGCACCACAGUUUGGUAUCAGGCAUCCAGGACAGCCACCCUGGAUGGACCUCACUGGACGAAUGCCACCGUAUGUGUGAAUUCACCGAGAUUCCUCCAAGUUGUCCUCCAUGUUUGUCAGAAUUGGGAUGUUUAGAUUAAUGGCCAUAUGGUCUCUUAACAUAGCUAGCAUGAAAUACUAUUUAUAUUUCCUUUAGAUUCAGAACAUGCAGUACACACUUUGUAAUAAGGGAAAUAACUUUAACACGACAGCAUAGGAAUGUAUCACCGACACAAUGAAUGUUUCUUAGUGGUAUACUGUAAUUGUAAACAUGAACGUACUGUAGGUUACUGUGUCAUAACCAUGGGAUCCCACUAGUCUGGUUUAGAGGAAACAGUGGAUGUAACCAGACCUUAGAUUUACACUGGAUUCUCCAAUAGAACAGAUUACCAUGCCAUUGGUAGUUGUCCAGUGAUCCAGUGGUCUUCCGGUGAUCCAGUAGUCUUCUGGUGAUCCAGUAGUCUUCCGGUGAUCCAGUACUCUUUCGGUGAUCCAGUGGUCUUCCGGUGAUACAGUGGUCUUCCAGUGAUCCAGUGGUCUUCCGGUGAUCCAGUGGUCUUCCAGUGAUCCAAUUAGGAGAAGUGUCUCUUUUAUGUCCAGCUUCACCAGUAUAAAGGGUUAGUGACCCUAAAUAGUGACCCUAAAUAGUGACCCUAAAUAGAGACCCUGCUAUAGAGACCCAGACCAGUGAGAGGAACAUAGUAGGAGUUCUGAAACCCCUAGUUUAUCUUAGUCAAUGUAAUGUUACAUGAACUUGGUGAAGAACUGACAAGAAUUCAAUUCGGAACAUGAUUGAUAUUGAAAGCUGCAAUGGGGGAGUGAUGUUAUCUCUAUACACAGUGUAAAGGGUCAUUGCUGUUUAAUAGUUAUAGUACACUACAGUGCUGUUUGUUUUACACGGGUACAUUUCAUACCAAAAGGCUUACAAUAGGCCUAUCUUUGUAUUGUUGCUAAAUGUAACAAUGUUGUUUAGGAAUGCCAUAGUGAAUUGAAGAAUUAUGACUGCUUCACAAAGCACCCUUGAAUAUCUAUUCAUGUUUAUUGUUAUGAUACAGCAUGUAUCAAUACUAUGAAUAAAAACCUAUAAACGGA
Oncorhynchus tshawytscha (Chinook salmon) is the source of this 2885-nucleotide long non-coding RNA. RefSeq lists it as uncharacterized. The record is from RefSeq and is a predicted model, not a curated record. NCBI's taxonomy places the organism in Eukaryota, Metazoa, Chordata, Actinopteri, Salmoniformes, Salmonidae. The transcript has 2 exons.